Long non-coding RNA from Dermochelys coriacea (leatherback sea turtle), 1584 nucleotides. RefSeq lists it as uncharacterized. Lineage: Eukaryota; Metazoa; Chordata; Testudines; Dermochelyidae. The transcript has 3 exons. The record is from RefSeq and is a predicted model, not a curated record.
GCAGUGCAAGGCCCAGGGGUCUGGGAGUAGGGGCUGCAUGGGAGGGAGCACAGUUUGGGUGCUAGUGCCCCCCCCCUUUUAGGGACCUUCGAUCACCCCUGGCAAAAGGAGAAAUUACAUGGAGAAGGGAAAUAACCGGGAGGGAGGGGAUGUCCACAGGUCAAUCAGUCAGGAGAAAGGAAUUUCCAUUGUCCCUUUGUCAUAAACAAGUACUGUUUAUAAAGGGGAGAUUUCCUGGCAGGUAGUUGGAAUGGUUCAGGCUGCAGUACCACUUCCCCGAAUCAGUAACGUAUUUACACUCCUGUAUCCUGCUGGUGGACUUCCCUGUGAAUGUUCUAGCCAGAAUAGAGUAAUGAUCCCAACUAUGACUCAUGGAAGCAUGCAAGGGCAUGUGACUAGAUCAUGUGCUCCUGGCCUCCAUCUUGUACCUGUACUUUUAUGCUAACUAAACUGUGCUGGGGACUUUUGUUUCGAACAAUGAAGUGCUCUGCACAUGGCAGAAGCUAUAAAGGGAGGAAGUGACAUCAUCACUUAGCCUCACUCCCCCCACAACUCAACACCUGGAAACACCUCAGGAACAAAGACUGAAUGGGGGAAGAUGGUCAUAAGGAGGGAAAGAAGGUAUCCCAGCCUUUGUCUGAAAGAUCUGCAUACUGCUUAUACUAUCAGGGGACACAGCUUGGGAUCUAACCUUCCUCCAGACCUCCAGCCCUGCCCAGUGCCCGGCUAACACAUCAGCACACGGUGUCCUGGGAACAGGAGUCAGAUGCAAAUUCAUCCUCCAACCUGGCUCCUGAGACUGUAUAUCCCAACAAGCCCAUCCCUGUGAUGCACUGCAAUCCAUUGCCAAAAUGCUGAGAAACAGAAAGUGCCAAUUUGCACUGUGGGAUAGCUACCCCCAGUGCACUGCUCUCUUUGUCGAUGCUUAAGCACCAAUUGUGGACGUGCUCCACCAACAUAAGGAGCAUUGUGUGGACAUGCACAAGUGAUGUAAUUACAGUAGUUUAUGAUCAUCAAUGGAACUUAAGUUGACUCCACUCUGUAGUGUAGACGUGGCCCAAGACAGGAGACAACAGGUGGAACUCCAAUUCUUGAAAGCGGUCAGGAAAGAGCUGACACACACAUGCAUCCUUCUCCCAUUUUUUUUAAAUGAGUUAACGGAGAGGAUACGCAACAUCACUAGAGAUAUAACCAGGGCAAAACUUAAACCUCUAGCAUAUCAGUGCCAAGCCUUAGCCACCGAUCCACACCACUGUCUGGCAUUGGAUGUGAUAAAUUUUGAAUGCUUGAUCUGAUCAAUUCCAGAAUUUCAGGGCAUAUUCUAGGCAUCAGUGGCCAGAAAACUAUUGAUUUGGGGGAUAUUCAGAACAUUGAAAGAGGGGGGAAAUGGGUGACAUAUGGAGUCACUCUCAUUUUAACAACAGCCAUUAGCACCUUGCAGCGUAACAAUCCCCUGCUCAUCCUUCCACUAGAGUAAUGUGUCAACACCCUAAAUGACAAACUGUCCCUGUUGGGACCCAAGGGAGAGAUAUUCAGCCAGCAAGGGCAGCUGGAGGGAGAAGGCUUCAUUCAUCCAGGGCCAUC